RNAcentral lists this ribosomal RNA (253 nucleotides) under uncultured bacterium. Its description in RNAcentral is "partial 16S ribosomal RNA". It matches the Rfam family "Bacterial small subunit ribosomal RNA", at positions 524 to 776 of the family's 1533-position model. The record is from RNAcentral.
UACGAAGGGGGCUAGCGUUGUUCGGAUUUACUGGGCUUGAAGCGCACGUAGGCGGCGUUUGUAAGUGUCGGGUGAAAUCCCACGGCUCACCCGUGGAACUGCCCGGCAUACUGCGAUGCUAGAGUGUGGUAGGGGAGAGCGGAACUCCUGGUGGAGCGGUGAAAUGCGUAGAUAUCAGGAGGAACACCGGUGGCGAAGGCGGGUCUCUGGGCAACACUGACGCUGAGGAGCGAAAGCGUGGGGAGCGAACAGG